GUCAGAAUGGCCGAGUGGUCUAAGGCGCCAGACUCAAGGCUAUCCUUGCCUGCAGUUGCGGGUGAUGAGCGUUCUGGUCCUCGUAUGAGGGCGUGGGUUCGAACCCCACUUCUGACA
RNAcentral lists this transfer RNA (117 nucleotides) under Tropilaelaps mercedesae. It matches the Rfam family "tRNA". From Rfam's summary of the family: Transfer RNA (tRNA) molecules are approximately 80 nucleotides in length. Their secondary structure includes four short double-helical elements and three loops (D, anti-codon, and T loops). Further hydrogen bonds mediate the characteristic L-shaped molecular structure. tRNAs have two regions of fundamental functional importance: the anti-codon, which is responsible for specific mRNA codon recognition, and the 3' end, to which the tRNAs corresponding amino acid is attached (by aminoacyl-tRNA synthetases). tRNAs cope with the degeneracy of the genetic code in two manners: having more than one tRNA (with a specific anti-codon) for a particular amino acid; and 'wobble' base-pairing, i.e. permitting non-standard base-pairing at the 3rd anti-codon position. Lineage: Eukaryota; Metazoa; Arthropoda; Arachnida; Mesostigmata; Laelapidae. The record is from Rfam by way of RNAcentral.